RNAcentral lists this ribosomal RNA (253 nucleotides) under uncultured bacterium. RNAcentral's name for it is "partial 16S ribosomal RNA". It matches the Rfam family "Bacterial small subunit ribosomal RNA", at positions 524 to 776 of the family's 1533-position model. The record is from RNAcentral.
UACGUAGGGUGCAAGCGUUGUCCGGAUUUAUUGGGCGUAAAGAGCUCGUAGGCGGUCUGGCACGUCGGCUGUGAAAACUCGGGGCUCAACCUCGAGCCUGCAGUCGAUACGGGCAGACUAGAGUGCUGUAGGGGAGACUGGAAUUCCUGGUGUAGCGGUGAAAUGCGCAGAUAUCAGGAGGAACACCGGUGGCGAAGGCGGGUCUCUGGGCAGUAACUGACGCUGAGGAGCGAAAGCGUGGGGAGCGAACAGG